RNAcentral lists this ribosomal RNA (195 nucleotides) under Triticum aestivum (bread wheat). Its description in RNAcentral is "partial small subunit ribosomal RNA". The record is from RNAcentral. Lineage: Eukaryota; Viridiplantae; Streptophyta; Magnoliopsida; Poales; Poaceae.
AUGGACUACCAGCCCAUUAUCUCUGCCCUUGACGUCCGAACUGAUACAGUUUCUGUCGACGAUCUCUUCGCGAUGGUGUCCAACUUUGAUCAGCGCGUGGAGAUGUUCCACGGCACCGGGGCUGGCUCCUUCAAAUCCUCUGCUAACGCGGCCUCUCGGGGUCGUGGCGGCGGCGGUCGCUAUUCUCCCAAGAAC